Molecule: long non-coding RNA, 749 nt
Organism: Folsomia candida
Lineage: Eukaryota; Metazoa; Arthropoda; Collembola; Entomobryomorpha; Isotomidae
Exons: 3
Source: RefSeq, a predicted model, not a curated record
ACGGCCAUCCUCGAAAUUUAUCCCAAAGCGGGAUCAAUUUUCUCAAAAAGUUGAUUCUUCGAAAAGUUACAAUUUGUUUUGUGAGAUUGAUUCAGAAUUUUUGAGACAGUUAGUGAAAUAAACACCCUCUGAAUUUUCGAUAAACAGCAUUCCCCAUUAAGUCUAUCAGAUUUAAUAAUAAUUCUUCGGAAAAGACAUUCAUAAUUUUAAUUUUGGAAAUGGAUUUUUUUUUGUACAAUGAAGCCUGAACGGAUGAAUGAGAGCUUCUCAUUGUUAUCAUGUUAGCCGAGUGAACUGACUUUUUUUCAACUGGAAAGGAAAGGAAAGAAGAAGACAUUCACAAUUUUUGACAUUAAUAUGACUCGUGCAAGCUGGACAUUUACCAUAGUCGUCGGCAUUACUUUCGCCUUAGGAUUCUUUGCAGGGUACAAAACCAAAGAGUUGAGAAUACAAUGGCUCAAAAGGAAGAGAGAUCGUCUGGCAGAUAAAUUAGUGGAGACACAGAGACUAAUUGAACAACAUCAAAAGAACUACUAAAUUAAACGAUGCAUUUAAUAAUAAUUUACUGUCGAGUACUUAGUUUAGAAGCUAAAAUGUUUGAGAAAAUUGUAUUGUAUUCGUGUACUGUAGUGUAGUAACAUAAACUAGUUUGGACAAUAUUUCUUGAUACACAUAUCAUCACUCCCUGAAGAAGAUAGCAGCUUCUGUCGAAAGCUUGGAACAAUAAAACUUAAAAAUGUCAUCCAUGA